RNAcentral lists this ribosomal RNA (306 nucleotides) under uncultured bacterium. RNAcentral's name for it is "partial 16S ribosomal RNA". It matches the Rfam family "Bacterial small subunit ribosomal RNA", at positions 507 to 807 of the family's 1533-position model. The record is from RNAcentral.
GACAGCAGCCGCCGCGGUAAUACGGAGGGGGCUAGCGUUGUUCGGAAUUACUGGGCGUAAAGCGCACGUAGGCGGCUUGGUAAGUUAGAGGUGAAAGCCUGGAGCUCAACUCCAGAAUUGCCUUUAAGACUGCCGAGCUAGCAGGUGAGAGAGGUAAGUGGAAUUCCGAGCGUAGAGGUGAAAUUCUUAGAUAUUCGGAAGAACACCAGUGGCGAAGGCGGCUUACUGGCUCAUACUGGACGCUGAGGUGCGAAAGCGUGGGGAGCAAACAGGAUUAGAUACCCGCGUAGUCCCUGUCUCUUAUAC